RNAcentral lists this transfer RNA (66 nucleotides) under Pteragogus flagellifer (cocktail wrasse). Its description in RNAcentral is "tRNA-Cys". RNAcentral also lists the same sequence under 1 other name. The record is from RNAcentral. Lineage: Eukaryota; Metazoa; Chordata; Actinopteri; Labriformes; Labridae.
AGCUCUGAGGUGUUUUACAUGUUGGAUUGCAAAUCCAAAGUAGUAGGGUAACGCCUACCGGGGCUU